This 113-nucleotide small nucleolar RNA is filed under the name Otolemur garnettii (small-eared galago). RNAcentral's name for it is "Small nucleolar RNA U13". It matches the Rfam family "Small nucleolar RNA U13". Lineage: Eukaryota; Metazoa; Chordata; Mammalia; Primates; Galagidae. The record is from Rfam by way of RNAcentral.
AUCCUUUUGUAGUUCAUAAGCGUGAUGAUUGGGUUCUCAUGUGCAUGCGUGCGAUGUGCCUCCCACGAAUCUUGUUAUGACGUUGGUGACAGCAGCACAUUACCCAUCUGACG